Molecule: long non-coding RNA, 2316 nt
Filed under: Orbicella faveolata
Lineage: Eukaryota; Metazoa; Cnidaria; Anthozoa; Scleractinia; Merulinidae
Description: uncharacterized LOC110048777
Source: RNAcentral
UUGCGAAAAAGGUGGUGAAAGAGAACUUCACUGCUGACCCGAGCAGCAGCAGCAUGAACUAUGCAAAAUUCACAGCUGUCCUGGCGGGCAGUGUCGCGGUAAAAGAGUACCUCGAAGACAAAAAGAUUCUUCUGACCUCUGUGUAACGAACAACAAUUAAAAAUAUGUGUUUUUAACGAUGGCUAGCAUUGUGAUGAUGGUCGGAGGUGCUAUUCUUAAUGCCGCUACUUUCACUGGCGGGAACUAUCUUGCCAAAUAUUUGUCUGGUGACAGCAGAGAAAGAAAAAGUGGCACAACAAAGCCCUUAAAGAUUAUCAGGCCACUAUGGCCAGAUACAUGUGUGAGUGCACGAAGCUUCUUGGUUGGAUUCAAACCCACAGAGAAAUCAAACAACAAGCGAAGCAGAACUUCACGAACACCGAUUACGCAUGUAAACUCUAUAACCAGGCCCACCUAGACAAUCACACCACCCAAAGAACCUCAAUUCGUUGACUUUUAUCAACCCAGUGAGCAGCACAAGCAAGGCGAGUUGCUUUUUGUGGGCGGCAGCGCGCUCACUCUCGGCUACGCGGCUUUUCCUCUUCUUUGAAAAUGCUUGUAUUUUAAAACGGCACUACUGGUGUUACAAUAUGGACACUGAAAAGCAGCUCGCAAAAGUCUACUACAGCCUCAUGGGCUACUGGAAAGGCAUUGCUGCCUUCAAAAAAUUAGCGGAUGCUGCAUCCACUAGUGAAGAAACCACCAAGCAGUGGCUCAUCAAACAGGCUUUCUGACAGAUCUAUCUCCCCGUGCUGCGCUACAUUCCUUGUCCCAAAUUCAACGUAGCGACGCCUAACAAGGUCCACCAAGUGGACCUUCUUUUUCUGCCUCACAACAAGCUCCCGCACGGUGCAAAAUUUACAAAUAUGCACUGGCCGUUGUUGAAGUUGCCAGCCGCUACAAAAAAAAACCAAGCCUCUGACCUCGAAAGACUCUGCUGAGGUUGCAAAAGCUUUCCAGUCAAUUUACAGGCACAGCCCUUUGGCUUGGCUGCACAUGCUGCAGGUCAAUCCUGGGCGCAAGUUCAUGGGAAGCGUGACCAAAGAAAUGGAAAACCACACAACCUAUAUCUGCUGUGGGCAUGCUGAAAUUCACUGAGACCAAGCCAUCGAUGAGCAUUUCAACCGCACGCUGGCCGAGCGCUUGUUCGGCUAUCAGUAUGCCGUGGAAAUGCUACUGCCUUCUGGCCAGUGGUCAACCGCAUGGGUCACAAGGCUCCCCGACGUUGUUGCCGCUCUGAACAAAGAAGUCACUCGCCUGACUGGCAAAAAGCCGGCUGAUGCUAUCAAAGAGAAGUCUGUCACCUCCCAACCCUCCACUCCUUAUUCAAGGUCUGUUGGUGUGAAUGAAAAAAAGCUUCCCUCCAACGUGAAUGUUCACUUUCUCUACCAGCCCGGUGAGCUAGAAGGGGGGUUUCAAAGAGCCACAGACCCGGUCCACAACCACAACCUUGAAAGGGCUGUGACCCAGCCUGAUGAGCCUGUUUAAUAUUAUUUGCAUGAUGGCCCUAUGCUGGGGUUUGUACAUGACAAGCUUUUGGUUGUCCCGCCAAACACACAGCUUCUGCCUGCUUAUGCCAUGCGGAAUUCAAUCGGCUCUGUGUGGAUCCCGUCUGGCAGCAACCAGCGUUUGUCAUAAUACGUUGGGUAGCAUAAUAUUUGCCUAUUGAUUCAUCAUUCUUCAUCAGAUAAGAGACCUUUAUUUGAAUCAACUCCUCUGCCAAAGACACGUUCACAAGCAAGGCACACUCUUGCUGAAAGUACUAUUGAGGUUAAUGUCACUGGCUCCACAGUAGCUAGUCCUCAAGUGAAUGACUCGAGGCAAACCUCCAUGUGGAACCUUACCACCUCCUGGGAAAAGGCAGCCACCAUAAAUCCUUCGUUUGCUUCACUGAAGGGAAAUCCUUUCAAGGACAGCCCUCUGUCAGAAUCUGAGCACUCUGAAACUACCUGUAGUAUUGACGAUGAAAGUUCAUGUGAAAGUGGAUGAUAACUACAUCAGAGAGGAGGACCCUUCACUUGUGUCAUUCAGCCAACCUUUGUAAGUGCAGCAUAUGGUACAUUCAUUGACCAAAGCUGGGAUGUAAACAAGCUUCAUUUUGUAGCUAAGUACAUGUAUUAUACAUCUUUGAAAAGGGGAAGUGAUGCAUUUGACAUUUAGCCCUAAUAAUUUAUCAUAAGUUGCAAUUGAUUAUUUAACAGUUGAUUGAAGUUUGCAUUCUUGUCUAGAACAGUGCAUGUAAAAUUAUGCAUAGAGCACAGAUUUUACAUGUGGCUG